ACCUAGAUGACGAGUACCAAACAGGACGAAACGCGCGUCUUGGAU
This 45-nucleotide non-coding RNA is filed under the name Schistosoma mansoni. The record is from RNAcentral. Lineage: Eukaryota; Metazoa; Platyhelminthes; Trematoda; Strigeidida; Schistosomatidae.